UACGAAGGGGGCUAGCGUUGUUCGGAAUUACUGGGCGUAAAGGGCGCGUAGGCGGUUAAAUAAGUUAGGUGUGAAAUCCCGGGGCUCAACCUCGGCAUAGCAUUUAAAACUAUAUAACUAGAAUACAAGAGAGGACAGUGGAAUUCCUAGUGUAGAGGUGAAAUUCGUAGAUAUUAGGAAGAACAUCGGAGGCGAAGGCGGCUGUCUGGCUUGAUAUUGACGCUGAGGCGCGAAAGCGUGGGUAGCAAACAGG
RNAcentral lists this ribosomal RNA (253 nucleotides) under uncultured bacterium. Its description in RNAcentral is "partial 16S ribosomal RNA". It matches the Rfam family "Bacterial small subunit ribosomal RNA", at positions 524 to 776 of the family's 1533-position model. The record is from RNAcentral.